AAUUUGCUCCUCUUUCUUUUCUGUCUGGCUGGAGAUCUAUCUCCAGCUCUCCUCCUCUCCUCUCCUCUCCCCCCACCCCCUUCUCCUUCCCUCGCUUCUCCCCUCCCCGAAGGAAAAAAGAGGCAGAGGAAGGA
Molecule: long non-coding RNA, 134 nt
Filed under: Mus musculus (house mouse)
Lineage: Eukaryota; Metazoa; Chordata; Mammalia; Rodentia; Muridae
Also listed under: 1 other name
Description: predicted gene, 56910
Source: RNAcentral